This 63-nucleotide transfer RNA is filed under the name Ictidomys tridecemlineatus (thirteen-lined ground squirrel). RNAcentral's name for it is "Spermophilus tridecemlineatus (thirteen-lined ground squirrel) tRNA". It matches the Rfam family "tRNA", at positions 5 to 66 of the family's 71-position model. From Rfam's summary of the family: Transfer RNA (tRNA) molecules are approximately 80 nucleotides in length. Their secondary structure includes four short double-helical elements and three loops (D, anti-codon, and T loops). Further hydrogen bonds mediate the characteristic L-shaped molecular structure. tRNAs have two regions of fundamental functional importance: the anti-codon, which is responsible for specific mRNA codon recognition, and the 3' end, to which the tRNAs corresponding amino acid is attached (by aminoacyl-tRNA synthetases). tRNAs cope with the degeneracy of the genetic code in two manners: having more than one tRNA (with a specific anti-codon) for a particular amino acid; and 'wobble' base-pairing, i.e. permitting non-standard base-pairing at the 3rd anti-codon position. The record is from Rfam by way of RNAcentral. Lineage: Eukaryota; Metazoa; Chordata; Mammalia; Rodentia; Sciuridae.
AUGUAGCUCAGUGGUACAGCACUUGCCUGGCAAGUAUGAGGCCCUGGGUUCAAGCCCUAGUAU